This 2844-nucleotide small RNA is filed under the name Pongo abelii (Sumatran orangutan). Its description in RNAcentral is "retained intron". The record is from RNAcentral. Lineage: Eukaryota; Metazoa; Chordata; Mammalia; Primates; Hominidae.
GAGCGCCGCUGGGUAGGCGGAAGUAGCCGCAGGCAUGGCGGCUGCUAUUCCGCUUUCUCUGCUCGUCCUGCUGCUCCUGGGGCCCGGCGGCUGGUGCCUGGCAGAACACCCACGCGACAGCCUGCGGGAGGAACUCGUCAUCACCCCGCUGCCUUCCGGGGACGUAGCCGCAACAUUCCAGUUCCGCACGCGCUGGGAUUCGGAGCUUCAGCGGGAAGGAGUGUCUCAUUACAGGCUCUUUCCCAAAGCCCUGGGGCAGCUGAUCUCGAAGUAUUCUCUACGGGAGCUGCACCUGUCAUUCACACAAGGCUUUUGGAGGACCCGAUACUGGGGGCCACCCUUCCUGCAGGCCCCAUCAGGUGCAGAGCUCUGGGUCUGGUUCCAAGACACUGUCACUGAUGUGGAUAAAUCUUGGAAGGAGCUCAGUAAUGUCCUCUCAGGGAUCUUCUGCGCCUCUCUCAACUUCAUCGACUCCACCAACACGGUCACUCCCACUGCCUCCUUCAAACCCCUGGGUCUGGCCAAUGACACUGACCACUACUUUCUGCGCUAUGCUGUGCUGCCGCGGGAGGUGGUCUGCACUGAAAACCUCACCCCCUGGAAGAAGCUCUUGCCCUGUAGUUCCAAGGCAGGCCUCUCUGUGCUGCUGAAGGCAGAUCGCUUGUUCCACACCAGCUACCACUCCCAGGCAGUGCAUAUCCGCCCUGUUUGCAGAAAUGCACGCUGUACUAGCAUCUCCUGGGAGCUGAGGCAGACCCUGUCAGUUGUAUUUGAUGCCUUCAUCACGGGGCAGGGGAAGAAAGACUGGUCCCUCUUCCGGAUGUUCUCCCGAACCCUCACGGAGCCCUGCCCCCUGGCCUCAGAGAGCCGAGUCUAUGUGGAUAUCACCAACUACAACCAGGACAACGAGACAUUAGAGGUGCACCCAUCCCCGACCACUACAUAUCAGGACGUCAUCCUAGGCACUCGGAAGACCUAUGCCAUCUAUGACUUGCUUGACAGCGCCAUGAUCAACAACUCUCGAAACCUCAACAUCCAGCUCAAGUGGAAGAGACCCCCAGAGAAUGGUGAGUGGGUGGGUGGUUGGACUGCCGGGUUGCAACGGCUACAGAGAAAAGACUCACAAUCCCACGUCUUUGCCGUAAGAUGAUAGGGUUGUAUUUAGACCAGAUCUCCAGAGUCAUAUGCUGCUGACUGUAGCUCUUCCAAGCUCUAUGAUUUUGGGUAGGUUCCUAAACUCCCCAAGCAUCAGCAUCCACAUCUGAAAAAUAAAGAGUAUACUUAGUGAAUUGAAUGAGAUGAUGUGAAAAAUGGAGUUAGUUCAUGCAUUUGCUUCAUCAACCAAAUACUUAUGAAUUCAUACUAAGUGCCAGGCAUAGAGUAUUGAAUACGACAGAGGACACUGCACUCAAGAAAUAUAAUGUCUACUAGCUAGGGCAGGUGUCAGUUAAUUAAUUACAGUUGUGUUCAGUUCCCUUUACCAAGUGAAAGAGCAGAAUAUCCUGAGAGGACCUGGUUUGGGUUCGAAGGAGGCACGGUGUUCGUCACAUAAGCACUUUAAUACUAGCAACUUAUUGUCAUUAUUGCUUGUUGGCUGGGGAAGACAGGGAUGAUUCCAGAACCCAGAUUUCCCAGUUUCAGUGGCAGGGCUGUUCCUCCAUCUACUCACUGGCUUGGGACUCUGAACAUGGCCUGGGCAGUUGGGGUGGGGAGUGAUUCUUACUUUUGGCAGCUGUUAACUGUUGACAUUUCUUUACACAGAGGCCCCCCCAGUACCCUUCCUGCAUGCCCAGCGGUACGUGAGCGGCUAUGGGCUGCAGAAGGGGGAGCUGAGCACACUGCUGUACAACACCCACCCAUACCGGGCCUUCCCGGUGCUGCUGCUGGACACUGUACCCUGGUAUCUGCGGCUGUAUGUGCACACCCUCACCAUCACCUCCAAGGGCAAGGAGAACAAACCAAGUUACAUCCACUACCAGCCUGCCCAGGACCGGCUGCAACCCCACCUCCUGGAGAUGCUGAUUCAGCUGCCGGCCAACUCAGUCACCAAGGUUUCCAUCCAGUUUGAGCGGGCGCUGCUGAAGUGGACCGAGUACACGCCAGAUCCUAACCAUGGCUUCUAUGUCAGCCCAUCUGUCCUCAGCGCCCUUGUGCCCAGCAUGGUAGCAGCCAAGCCAGUGGACUGGGAAGAGAGUCCCCUCUUCAACAGCCUGUUCCCAGUCUCUGAUGGCUCUAACUACUUCGUGCGGCUCUACACAGAGCCGCUGCUGGUGAACCUGCCGACACCGGACUUCAGCAUGCCCUACAACGUGAUCUGCCUCACGUGCACGGUGGUGGCCGUGUGCUACGGCUCCUUCUACAAUCUCCUCACCCGAACCUUCCACAUCGAGGAGCCCCGCACAGGUGGCCUGGCCAAGCGGCUGGCCAACCUUAUCCGGCGCGCCCGAGGUGUCCCCCUACUCUGAUUAUUGCCCUUUCCAGCAGCUGUAGCUGCUGUUCUCUCUGGGGAGGAGAGCACAAGGGCUCUUUCUGCCACUUGCUCUCCUCAGAAUUGGCUUUUGGAACCAAAGUGCCCUGGACCAGGUCAGGGCCUACAGCUGUGCAUCCAGUACAGGAGCCAUGAGCCAAAUAUGGCAUUUGAAUUUGAAUUAACUUAAAAAUUCAUUUCCUCACCUGUAGUGGCCACCUCUAUAUUGAGGUGCUCAAUAAGCAAAAGUGGUCAGUGGCUGCUGUAUUGGAAAGAACAGAAAAAGACUUCCAUCACUGCAGAAAGGUCGGUUGGCAGCACCGGCCAAGGUGAUGGGGUGUGCUGCAGAGUGUGUGUCACCGUGUGGUGGAUGGAGU